CGCGUAGGUGGUGAUAUAAGUCCGGGGUGGAAGACUGGGGCUUAACCUCAGAAUUGCCUUGGAUACUGUAUGACUUGAGUCAGCGAGGGGAUGGCGGAAUUCCAGGUGUAGCGGUGAAAUGCGUAGAUAUCUGGAGGAAGGCCGGUGGCGAAGGCGGCCAUCUGGCGCUGAACUGACACUGAGGCGCGAAAGCGUGGGGAGCAAACAGGAUUAGAUACCCUGGUAGUCCACGCCCUAAACGGUGGGUACUAGGUGUAGGGCUCGUAAGGGUUCUGUGCCGAAGGGAAACCAUUAAGUACCCCGCCUGGGAAGUACGGCCGCAAGGUUGAA
This 330-nucleotide ribosomal RNA is filed under the name uncultured bacterium. RNAcentral describes it as "bacterial SSU rRNA". It matches the Rfam family "Bacterial small subunit ribosomal RNA", at positions 568 to 898 of the family's 1533-position model. The record is from RNAcentral.